Molecule: long non-coding RNA, 311 nt
Filed under: Hordeum vulgare
Lineage: Eukaryota; Viridiplantae; Streptophyta; Magnoliopsida; Poales; Poaceae
Description: long non-coding RNA (HVUL_LNC001613)
Source: RNAcentral
GUAAAAUUAUUCUAAAAUAUAGCAAUAAUAUUUUUAUUAAAAACUUCAUGUGUAAAAUUACUAAUACAGUUAUUUAUGCAAAAGUGAAUUUAUGUAAAAUAUAAUUACUGGAAAUCUUAAAACCAUUGUCACACUCCGACUUCACACUUAUACUUAAGAAUUAGAUUAGGAGAAAAUAUGGUGUACGUAUAUCAAAUUUAUGUACGUGAUGAGAUUGUCGCAUGCAAUGCUACUCCUACUAUUGUACUAAUUUCAUUGUUUUAUCCGAAUUGAAAUUCUGUAGCAUUUUUUCCACAUCGAUUGGCCUUUUG